Molecule: ribosomal RNA, 563 nt
Filed under: Sordariomycetes sp. genotype 83
Lineage: Eukaryota; Fungi; Ascomycota; Sordariomycetes
Description: eukaryotic LSU rRNA
Rfam family: 5.8S ribosomal RNA (bases 210-363)
Source: RNAcentral
GAACCUGCGGAGGGAUCAUUACAGAGUUGCAAAACUCCCACAAACCAUCGCGAAUCUUACCCGUACGGUUGCCUCGGCGCUGGCGGUCCGGAAGGCCCUCGGGCCCCCGGAUCCUCGGGUCUCCCGCUCGCGGGAGGCUGCCCGCCGGAGUGCCGAAACCAAACUCUUGAUAUUUUAUGUCUCUCUGAGUAAACUUUUAAAUAAGUCAAAACUUUCAACAACGGAUCUCUUGGUUCUGGCAUCGAUGAAGAACGCAGCGAAAUGCGAUAAGUAAUGUGAAUUGCAGAAUUCAGUGAAUCAUCGAAUCUUUGAACGCACAUUGCGCUCGCCAGUAUUCUGGCGAGCAUGCCUGUUCGAGCGUCAUUUCAACCAUCAAGCUCUGCUUGCGUUGGGGAUCCGCGGCUGCCCGCGGUCCCUCAAAAACAGUGGCGGGCUCGCUAGUCACACCGAGCGUAGUAACUCUACAUCGUUCUGGUCGUGCGGCGGGUUCUUGCCGUAAAACCCCCCAAUUUCUAAGGUUGACCUCGGAUCAGGUAGGAAUACCCGCUGAACUUAAGCAUAUC